RNAcentral lists this unclassified non-coding RNA (538 nucleotides) under Hevea brasiliensis (rubber tree). The record is from RNAcentral. Lineage: Eukaryota; Viridiplantae; Streptophyta; Magnoliopsida; Malpighiales; Euphorbiaceae.
UUGAAUCAUCAGAGAAUAAAGAGAGAACAUCAUCCAGUAUAGAGCGAAGGUCAAAUGGAACUGCCUCAAGUUCUAACUUGCCCGCUUCAAUUUUGGCCCGAUCAAGCACUUCAUUUAUCAAUCUUAUCAGUGACUUCCCACAAUCUUGAGCAGUCUGAGCAUAAUCUCUUUGAGUUGAACUCAGAUCCGUAUCUAAGAGCAGAGCAAGCAUUCCUAGGAUUCCAUUCAUAGGAGUUCUUAUUUCAUGUGAAACAGUAGCCAAGAACUGGGAUUUGGCAACAUCAGCUGCUUCAGCUUGAACCUUUAGCUCCUGCAUUUUAUGGAAAUCAUCCUCUACUUUAUUAAUGUGGCUUGCAGAUUUGUAACCCGUGUAGCCAAUUAAGAGGAAGAUGGUAAAAAUGAAAACUGCAGUGGUCACUGCACCCCAAGAUAUAGGAGCUUCGUAAAGAUACCUACAAAUCAUCUCAUGCUUACGAAAUGGAUCACCAAAAUCAAGCUUGCUCACAUGCUUUAGUGAGGCAUCACCAUUGGGGUUCUG